This 311-nucleotide ribosomal RNA is filed under the name uncultured bacterium. RNAcentral's name for it is "bacterial SSU rRNA". It matches the Rfam family "Bacterial small subunit ribosomal RNA", at positions 28 to 334 of the family's 1533-position model. The record is from RNAcentral.
GACGAACGCUGGCGGCGCGCCUAACACAUGCAAGUCGAACGAGCGAGAGAGAGCUUGCUUUCUCGAGCGAGUGGCGAACGGGUGAGUAACGCGUGAGGAACCUGCCUCAAAGAGGGGGACAACAGUUGGAAACGACUGCUAAUACCGCAUAAGCCCACAGCUCGGCAUCGAGCAGAGGGAAAAGGAGUGAUCCGCUUUGAGAUGGCCUCGCGUCUGAUUAGCUAGUUGGCGAGGUAACGGCCCACCAAGGCGACGAUCAGUAGCCGACCUGAGAGGGUGAUCGGCCACAUUGGGACUGAGACACGGCCCAA